AUUGAACGCUAGCGGGAUGCUUUACGUAUUCAAGUCGAACGGCAGCGCGGACUUCGGUCUGGCGGCGAGUGGCGAACGGGCGUGUAAUGUAUCGGAACGUGCCCAGUAGCGGGGGAUAACUACGCGAAAGCGUAGCUACUACCGCAUACUCCCUACGUGGGAAAGCGGGGGAGCGUUAGACCUUGCACCAUUGCAGCCGCCGAUAUCGGAUUAGCUAGUUGGUGAGGUAACGGCGCACCAAGGCGAUGAUCCGUAGCAGGUUUGAGAGGACGACCGACCACACUGGGACUGAGACACGGCCGACACUCCGGCGGGAGGCAGGAGUGGGAAAUUUUGCAGAAUGGGGGCAACCCUGAUCCAGCCCUACCGCGUGAGCGAUGAAGGCAUUCCGGUUGGAAAGCACGUUUGGCAGGAGAGACACGUCGCGGGCUAAUGCGCCGUGGAACUGACGGUAACUGCAGAAUAAGCCCCGGCUAACUACGUG
Molecule: ribosomal RNA, 484 nt
Filed under: uncultured bacterium
Lineage: Bacteria
Description: partial 16S ribosomal RNA
Rfam family: Bacterial small subunit ribosomal RNA
Source: RNAcentral